GGAGCCGUCGCAUAAUUGGUAUUGCACCGGUCUCGAAAACCGGCGUCCUAACGGACUUGUGGGUUCGAGUCCCACCGGCUCCG
RNAcentral lists this transfer RNA (83 nucleotides) under Gemmatimonadota bacterium. Its description in RNAcentral is "tRNA-Ser". It matches the Rfam family "tRNA". From Rfam's summary of the family: Transfer RNA (tRNA) molecules are approximately 80 nucleotides in length. Their secondary structure includes four short double-helical elements and three loops (D, anti-codon, and T loops). The record is from RNAcentral. RNAcentral also lists the same sequence under 1 other name. Lineage: Bacteria; Pseudomonadati; Gemmatimonadota.